GCCUCCGUCCUGCAUGCUCCCAAUCUCCAUCUCGGUUGAUCUUGGAAGCUAAGCAGGGUUGGGCCUGGUGAGCUUGGUUAAGAGACUGUCUGGGAAUACUGAGCAGUAUAGGCU
RNAcentral lists this ribosomal RNA (114 nucleotides) under Mus pahari (shrew mouse). Lineage: Eukaryota; Metazoa; Chordata; Mammalia; Rodentia; Muridae. The record is from RNAcentral.